GAUGAACGCUGGCGGCGUGCCUAAUACAUGCAAGUCGAGCGAACUGAUUAGAAGCUUGCUUCUAUGACGUUAGCGGCGGACGGGUGAGUAACACGUGGGCAACCUGCCUGUAAGACUGGGAUAACUUCGGGAAACCGAAGCUAAUACCGGAUAGAAUCUUCUCCUUCAUGGGAGAUGAUUGAAAGAUGGUUUCGGCUAUCACUUACAGAUGGGCCCGCGGUGCAUUAGCUAGUUGGUGAGGUAACGGCUCACCAAGGCAACGAUGCAUAGCCGACCUGAGAGGGUGAUCGGCCACACUGGGACUGAGACACGGCCCAGACUCCUACGGGAGGCAGCAGUAGGGAAUCUGCCGCAAUGGACGAAGGUCUGACGGAGCAACGCCGCGUGAGUGAUGAAGGCUUUCGGGUCGUAAAACUCUGUUGUUAGGGAAGAACAAGUACGAGAGUAACUGCUCGUACCUUGACGGUACCUAACCAGAAAGCCACGGCUAACUACGUGCCAGCCGCCGCCGUAA
This 514-nucleotide ribosomal RNA is filed under the name uncultured bacterium. Its description in RNAcentral is "partial 16S ribosomal RNA". It matches the Rfam family "Bacterial small subunit ribosomal RNA", at positions 28 to 523 of the family's 1533-position model. The record is from RNAcentral.